Molecule: ribosomal RNA, 330 nt
Filed under: Escherichia coli
Lineage: Bacteria; Pseudomonadati; Pseudomonadota; Gammaproteobacteria; Enterobacterales; Enterobacteriaceae
Also listed under: 1 other name
Description: bacterial SSU rRNA
Rfam family: Bacterial small subunit ribosomal RNA
Source: RNAcentral
CUGAGAGGAUGACCAGCCACACUGGAACUGAGACACGGUCCAGACUCCUACGGGAGGCAGCAGUGGGGAAUAUUGCACAAUGGGCGCAAGCCUGAUGCAGCCAUGCCGCGUGUAUGAAGAAGGCCUUCGGGUUGUAAAGUACUUUCAGCGGGGAGGAAGGGAGUAAAGUUAAUACCUUUGCUCAUUGACGUUACCCGCAGAAGAAGCACCGGCUAACUCCGUGCCAGCAGCCGCGGUAAUACGGAGGGUGCAAGCGUUAAUCGGAAUUACUGGGCGUAAAGCGCACGCAGGCGGUUUGUUAAGUCAGAUGUGAAAUCCCCGGGCUCAACC